UACGGAGGGUGCAAGCGUUGUUCGGAAUCAUUGGGCGUAAAGCGCGUGUAGGUGGCGUGCUAAGUCAGAUGUGAAAGCCUGGGGCUUAACUCCAGAAGUGCAUCUGAAACUAGUAUGCUAGAGUACAGUAGGGGGUGGUGGAAUUCCUAGUGUAGAGGUGAAAUUCGUAGAUAUUAGGAGGAACACCGGAGGCGAAGGCGGCCACCUGGACUUGUACUGACGCUAAGACGCGAAAGCGUGGGGAU
This 245-nucleotide ribosomal RNA is filed under the name uncultured bacterium. Its description in RNAcentral is "partial 16S ribosomal RNA". It matches the Rfam family "Bacterial small subunit ribosomal RNA", at positions 524 to 768 of the family's 1533-position model. The record is from RNAcentral.